GCGUCAUUCAUGUCUCAAGAAGGCAUAG
Molecule: small RNA, 28 nt
Filed under: Bombyx mori (domestic silkworm)
Lineage: Eukaryota; Metazoa; Arthropoda; Insecta; Lepidoptera; Bombycidae
Description: ovarian small RNA-2770
Source: RNAcentral